UACGGGGGGGGCAAGCGUUGUUCGGAAUUACUGGGCGUAAAGGGCUCGUAGGCGGCCAACUAAGUCCGACGUGAAAUCCCCAGGCUUAACCUGGGAACUGCAUCCGAUACUGGAUGGCUUGAAUUCGGGAGAGGGAUGCAGAAUUCCAGGUGUAGCGGUGAAAUGCGUAGAUAUCUGGAGGAAUACCGGUGGCGAAGGCGGCAUCCUGGACCGACAUUGACGCUGAGGAGCGAAAGCUAGGGGAGCAAACGGG
RNAcentral lists this ribosomal RNA (253 nucleotides) under uncultured bacterium. Its description in RNAcentral is "partial 16S ribosomal RNA". It matches the Rfam family "Bacterial small subunit ribosomal RNA", at positions 524 to 776 of the family's 1533-position model. The record is from RNAcentral.